ACUUUGCCGGAUUAGCUGAGAGGUGGUGCAUGGCCGUCGUCAGUUCGUACUGUGAAGCAUCCUGUUAAGUCAGGCAACGAGCCGAGACCCACGCCCACAGUUGCCAGCGUACUCUCUGGAGUGACGGGUACACUGGUGGGGACCGCCGCUGCUAAAGCGGAGGAAGGAAUGGGCAACGGUAGGUCAGUAUGCCCCGAAUAUCCCGGGCUACACGCGAGCUACAAUGGUUGGUACAAUGGGUAUCUACCCCGAAAGGGGACGGGAAUCUCCUAAAACCAAUCUUAGUUCGGAUUGAGGGCUGCAACUCGCCCUCAUGAAGCUGGAAUCCGUAGUAAUCGCGUUUCAACAGAACGCGGUGAAUACGUCCCUGCUCCUU
Molecule: ribosomal RNA, 376 nt
Filed under: uncultured Methanosaeta sp.
Lineage: Archaea; Methanobacteriati; Methanobacteriota; Methanomicrobia; Methanotrichales; Methanotrichaceae
Description: bacterial SSU rRNA
Rfam family: Archaeal small subunit ribosomal RNA
Source: RNAcentral